Molecule: ribosomal RNA, 254 nt
Filed under: uncultured bacterium
Lineage: Bacteria
Description: partial 16S ribosomal RNA
Rfam family: Bacterial small subunit ribosomal RNA
Source: RNAcentral
UACAGAGGUCUCAAGCGUUGUUCGGAUUCAUUGGGCGUAAAGGGUGUGUAGGUGGCGCGCUAAGUCGGGUGUGAAAUUUCGGAGCUUAACUCCGAAACUGCAUUUGAUACUGCCUUGCUUGAGGACUGGAGAGGAGACUGGAAUUCACGGUGUAGCAGUGAAAUGCGUAGAUAUCGUAAGGAAGACCAGUGGCGAAGGCGGGUCUCUGGACAGUUCCUGACGCUGAGGCACGAAGGUCAGGGGGAGCAAACGGG